Molecule: long non-coding RNA, 437 nt
Organism: Herpailurus yagouaroundi (jaguarundi)
Lineage: Eukaryota; Metazoa; Chordata; Mammalia; Carnivora; Felidae
Exons: 3
Source: RefSeq, a predicted model, not a curated record
CCCCCCCUUUUUUUUUUUUUUUUUGGCUUCCUCUUCUUCCCCAUUUUUUUUGCAGGGAACAGAAAAUGAUGACCACGGUACAGUGUCUACACCUUGGGAUCUUGAGGCUUCAAGCUCUUGUAUUAAGGGUGGCUGAGCCAGACGGCAAGGGGGCUGAAUCCCUCACGACGGGAUGGGACCACCAUUGCAGAGCAUGAGGUACUCAUUCCUGAUUAACGACCUCAGCAAGUGGGUAAUGAUUAUUCAUCGGCCUCUUUAGGAACUUUAAUCGUGUGGAGGACUUUCUAGACUUCAGAUGGACUACUCUAGAUAGAGGCAUAGAAACAGUAAUCAAGUAACAAAGCGAAAACUACUCAACUUAAAUGCCUAUCAGAUUAUACCCUUUCUAAUAUUUUUGGCAUGAAAAUGAUCUAUCUCUUAUGAAGCAAUCUUAACGU